Molecule: long non-coding RNA, 737 nt
Organism: Bubalus bubalis (water buffalo)
Lineage: Eukaryota; Metazoa; Chordata; Mammalia; Artiodactyla; Bovidae
Exons: 3
Source: RefSeq, a predicted model, not a curated record
CCCACGUGCUCCCUCCUUGGGUCUCCCGGUGAUAUAAUUAGCUGGUUUUAUCCAGCGGUGAGUGGGCGGCUUGCUCCCCUGGCAGCCGGCAAGGCCAGAGGAUGAUGCAACAAAAGGCAAGCCCGGGCAAGGCCGAGCCGGGGCUGUGCCGGCCAAAGAUGCUGAUGCGAUACACUGGGGUGGGGGUGGGGGUGGGGCGGGAAUAGCCGGAGUGGUUCGGAGCUGCAGGCGUCUGGGGGACCCGACUGCCUGGGGGGCAAAGCUGGCCUGCUCACUAAGCCUUGCGCUCUCACCCCACCUGCCCCUUCAGCCUUUCCCCCCACCCCUACUUAGUGACAGACACUAUUCCCAGUUCUCUGAUUCUCAACUGAGAUGGAAGUUCUGCUGAGAACUUCUAGAGCUGGAAGCAGAGGUCCUGAUGCCCUUGGGCAUAGUGGAGCUGCAGGAUGGAAAGGGCCUGAGUCCCUGAAUCAUCGUCACACCUGGAGGUCAGCUACUUGCCAACCAGAACAACUCAACUGUAUUCAUUAUGAAGAUUGUGGAGGCAAUUCUACUCCUGGGUGUAUAAUCAAGAAUAACUUGCAAAUGUAGCCCAAAGACAUGGAUAGGAAUAAUUAUAGCAGCCUUAUGGCAGAAAGUGAAGAGGAACUCAAAAGCCUCUUGAUGAAAGUGCAAGUGGAGAGUGAAAAAGUUGGCUUAAAGCUCAACAUUCAGAAAACGAAGAUCAUGGCAUCCGG